GCCACUUAGAAACAACCAUUCGCAUAAACCACCACAUCCACCUUUUCAUAUUUUACAAAUCCAUUCCAACGCAAUAGCAACCCUUCCAAAACGCCUCCACUUCCAACUCCUCUUUCAAACAAUCGACGUACCAUCUCUCUUCCCACUCUAUAUAAUUCCAAAAAACAUAGAUGGCUCUCCCCAUCAAACAACUAACAAUUGAUGCACAGGUAUGCACCGACAGCCCCUCUCCUUCACAAUUUUUGUUUAUAAACUCUAUCCUUUUACUUCACAAAUUAAUUUAUAACUACUGCGCACAAAGAAAUUUGAAGCAGUAGAAAAAAUUGAAUCACAACAUCCGUUUAUCUGCUUUUGGAUUUUCCAAGUUGUAAGUUAUUCCUUUUUCUAUGUUAUUGCGUUAAUACUUUCAAAAUCCACUAUCACAACUAAUGUUUUGUACCAUUAAUUUCCCUGCCAUUUUCAGUUCCAAAAUUUCUAUACUUGCAUUAGUUCUAACCUUUCGAUUGUAUUUUUAACAUGUUACUGCUGCCUUUUUUAUACAUGUUACUGCUGCCCUUUUUAUGCAUCACAUUCACCCCAACUAUGACUCACAUUCAUUAUAUUCAUUCUACAAUUGAUUGUAUUUUCAACAUGUUACUGCUGCCUCUUUUAUGCAUCACAUUCACCCCAACUAUGACUCACAUUCAAUAUGUUCAUUCUACACAAUUAAAUGUAUAACAAGAAGCAUCCUUACUUUGGCUAUUUCGAGAAAUAGCACCUUCUAUGUCUUGCUUAUUUGCAUAAAUCAAUAAUAAUGUUGCUCCUGAUAGCCUCUGAACAGAGCAUUUAACACUAAUUAAAAAACAACAUCAAUUGUAUUUUCUGCACUAAUCAACUUGCAGAGUACAUCUGGUAUCACUUCAUCAAUCGUACACUGACAAAUUAAUGUCCAAGGUUAACAUUACUGCACCCGUCUCCACAGAUACCUGCAUUCAUCGAGAUACAACCCACAUGGCCACUGAAAUGGAACUAGCAAAACAAAGUGUACCUAUAAAAAAGAUACCUAAAGCUUCCGUUGACUCGGUCAUGCUAGUCUUAGUUAUUAGAAGGGGUUCCUUCAUACCUUACAAGAAUUCAAGGCAUGAAGGAACUUUCAGAAUAAUAAUAUUAGUUGACAAAGAGGGGACAAAAUUUCAAACAACUCUAUUUUAUAAGCAUAUUGAAACAUGGAAGGACUUCUUGAAGCCAAAUAAGAGUUACUACAUUGCGAAAGGGCUCUUAAAUCACGUCAACCCAACUACUCUUCUGUGCAUGAAGAACUUGAAUUGGUCUUCAGAGAUAGUACAAUCAUACAAGAGACUGAGCAUCGCAUUCCAACAGACAAGUUCUCUGAUGGAUUUUCAUCAUUUCAACACGCUGAUGAAUUACCUAAUAGUGCCAUUCUGGGUAACUAUCUACACGAUUUUGCUCUUAUUUUUUUGCCACAUUACAUUAUCGCUAUGAAGAAUCGGCAUUAUGUAUCUGCAGACUUGAUGUGUGUCUUAGUUACUGUGAAUCCCCUUAUUGAAAAUGGAAAUUCCAAGAGACGGGAAAUAGUUAUUACAAAUGAGUUGUAAGUUGCAAUGCUAUAUAAUGUACCAUCUAUAUAUACAUUAUGUUAUGUAUUGAAUAUUCACUUCCAACAAUCAAUCCAGCAUGGAACAUAUAACAAUGAAUCUAUGGGGAGAUUUUGCUGAAAA
This is a long non-coding RNA of Solanum lycopersicum (tomato), 1718 nucleotides long. RefSeq lists it as uncharacterized. Lineage: Eukaryota; Viridiplantae; Streptophyta; Magnoliopsida; Solanales; Solanaceae. The record is from RefSeq and is a predicted model, not a curated record.